AAUUAUGCCUUAUUUGUGGUGAUAAAUCUACUGGUUAUCAUUUUGGUGUCAAAUCAUGUGAAUCAUGUAAAAUAUUUUUUAGAAGAAACGCCAAUAAAUUGGAUGAAUUCAACUGCUUUUUAGGCAACAAUUGUGAAAUUAAUAUUAAAAGCCGAAAAUCGUGUACAAAAUGUCGAUUAACUAAAUGUUUAGCUAUGGGAAUG
This is a long non-coding RNA of Oppia nitens, 203 nucleotides long. RefSeq lists it as uncharacterized. Lineage: Eukaryota; Metazoa; Arthropoda; Arachnida; Sarcoptiformes; Oppiidae. The transcript is spliced from 3 exons. The record is from RefSeq and is a predicted model, not a curated record.